AAGUCGUAACAAGGUUUCCGUAGGUGAACCUGCGGAAGGAUCAUUCAUAAUAAAGUGUUUUAUGGCACUUUUUUAAAAAAUCCAUAUCCACCUUGUGUGCAAUGUUUUUUAGAUCUAGCCAAAAUGAUAUUUUGGUUAGGUUUUAUUAUAUUACAUCAACUCUUAUUUAACUUGAUUUGUCUGAAAAAUAUUAUGAAUUUUUUAACUUAAUUCAAAAUACAACUUUCAACAACGGAUCUCUUGGCUCUC
This 249-nucleotide unclassified non-coding RNA is filed under the name Entomortierella chlamydospora. RNAcentral describes it as "Mortierella chlamydospora partial internal transcribed spacer region". The stretch from base 1 to 46 matches the Rfam family "Eukaryotic small subunit ribosomal RNA", at positions 1786 to 1831 of the family's 1831-position model. The record is from RNAcentral. RNAcentral also lists the same sequence under 2 other names. Lineage: Eukaryota; Fungi; Mortierellomycota; Mortierellomycetes; Mortierellales; Mortierellaceae.